CAAAUACUUCCUCCGUCCGGAAAUACUUGUCGAAAAAAUGGAUGUACUUAGACGUAUUUUAGUUCUAGAUACAUUUAUUUUUAUCCAUUUCUCCGACAAGUAUUUCGGGACGGAGGGAGUAGGUU
Non-coding RNA from Triticum aestivum (bread wheat), 125 nucleotides. Lineage: Eukaryota; Viridiplantae; Streptophyta; Magnoliopsida; Poales; Poaceae. The record is from Rfam.